Bradysia coprophila is the source of this 503-nucleotide long non-coding RNA. RefSeq lists it as uncharacterized. Lineage: Eukaryota; Metazoa; Arthropoda; Insecta; Diptera; Sciaridae. The record is from RefSeq and is a predicted model, not a curated record.
UGAAAUUACUAGCGAACAUAAGACAUCAAUAAGCAAUUCCAUCAACUAUACAGCGUCUGCUUAUCUACAAUAGUUUGUCGAGCUGGUCGUAAAAAUUGAUUUUUUUUUGUUAAAUCAAACAGAAUGGAAAGACGAACUGCGCUUCUAUUCAUACUUCUAAUAUCAUCAUUGCUGAUAGCUUCCGCAGACAAAGGUUGUCCGGGCAAUCAAGCCCAAUGUGAAGCAUCGUGCGGCGGUCCCGGACGUGGAAAAUGCGAGAAACGCUGGUACCGUUGGAAAUAUCGAUCCCGUUGCAAAUGUAAUCCUUGCAAAGGAACAUUGGUGCUGGGGGCGUGCAUCGACAAAGUGGAAGUUGGAGUUUCGUGCAAUGGGGAAUCGUGUAAGCCCACAUUUGGAUAAAUUUUAGAGUUUUUGUUAAAUUACAAUUAUGUUUGCUUAUUGAUUAUUGUGUGUAGAGACUAAACAUAGGCAAUCACAGUAUUAAAACAGUAGUGACGUACAAU